GGAGUCUUUCUUCAGGCCAGAUGAGGCCAGUGACGAUGCAUGCUCUUUGAGAUCCAGCAGAGACGUCUGAAACCAAACUUAGCGUUGAGACGCAACCUCAGAGCAUCCACCUGCAAAACAGUUGUGCGCAGCGGUCAGAGAAUCUGGUGGUGUGAUGGGUGAAGACUAACCACUGGUGGGCUCUACUACCUCUGUCUGGAGAAUAGCAGCACGUUGUUCUUUGGCAGUCAGGGACUCUUUGAGCACUUCAAUAUGCUGUUUGCUAUCAGAGAACUGGUUAGUCAGGGUUUCCAGCUUGGUCUGCAAGCCGAGGAGCUGGGUGUCCUUCCUGGAAAGAGCAUGCAGUACCUUGUUCUUCAUGAACUUGGUGUGGUUGCGGUAGACCUCCAUCUGCUUGGCCUCCUCCUGCCGUUCUUCACAGCUGAGCAUGCUACUGGAUCGAAGCAUCAUGACCUGGUCCUCCAGCUCCCUGAGACCCCGCUCUAGAGAACUGAUCUGAGACUCCUAAAACAUGCGUCAUAGACUCGAGUUCCUACACACCUCUCUCAAAGCCACUAGCUCUUUAUCACGCUGUUCUAGAAGGUUCUCCAGGUGGUGUGCGUGCAUCUCAGCAUCUGCGAGGCGUCGUGUGCGCUCAUGGUCCUCUUCACUGGCUUUAGCCGAGGGUCCCUUGCUGUGCAACAUCUCCAGGAGCUUUUUGACUGAGUCAUCACGAGCAGCUAGCGUCUGCCGCUGGGUCUCCAUGCGAACCUCCAUCUCCUCCAAGGAAUCAGGCUGUGCAGUGAGCCGCACGCAGCAGGACCAGGAUGGCCAUUUCAGGAUUGGCCAUUAGCGUCACCUCACCGCGGAGGUAGACUUUCCCUUCUCGUUUGAAGAUGAGCUGGAUCUUUAAUCACUCAAUUCUCAGUCACUCGUAUAAAUCUAUGAAAAUGCUUUGAUGCGAUACAAAUGUGUCUAUAAAUAGCUGGUCUUAACUAGUUUAAGCUGGUCAGUUCUACCUGACACAUGCAUUUCAGGGCAGCGUUUGGAAGGGAAAACUAUUGCACUGAUUACUGAAUACUGAGGAGUAUAUACAGUAUAAAGCUUGCUUUUUUAAAGAUAGCAUCCAUUUUAUGCGUGCUACGCUGUUGUCAUGUGUCGUGUUCAAAUCUCCAAAUUUUGUAUGUUUUUUUUUCCCUGUGAAUUUACAGAUAUUACACUAGCACAGUGUGCUCUGUAUAAUGCAUAUUUUGGCAAAUAUAGAGGGUAUUCAGUGCAUACUAAAACAUGCAUACUAUAUGUAUGUAUGCUACAGAAAUAGUAUAGUGAUAGUGUGUAUGUGUGUGCUGAGAUGUU
Non-coding RNA from Pimephales promelas (fathead minnow), 1335 nucleotides. The record is from RefSeq and is a predicted model, not a curated record. NCBI's taxonomy places the organism in Eukaryota, Metazoa, Chordata, Actinopteri, Cypriniformes, Leuciscidae.